Molecule: ribosomal RNA, 431 nt
Filed under: uncultured bacterium
Lineage: Bacteria
Description: bacterial SSU rRNA
Rfam family: Bacterial small subunit ribosomal RNA
Source: RNAcentral
GGCGAACGGGUGAGUAAUACAUGGGUGACCUACCCUUAAGUGGGGGAUAACCAGCCGAAAGGUUGGCUAAUACCGCAUACGCUUCCGGCUCUGCGGAGCUGGAAAGAAAGCUGCCCUGUGAGGGUGGCGCUUUUGGAUGGGCUCAUGUCCUAUCAGCUUGUUGGCGGGGUAACGGCCCACCAAGGCUUCGACGGGUAGCUGGUCUGAGAGGACGAUCAGCCACACUGGCACUGCGACACGGGCCAGACUCCUACGGGAGGCAGCAGUGAGGAAUAUUGCGCAAUGGGCGAAAGCCUGACGCAGCGACGCCGCGUGGGGGAUGAAGGUCUUCGGAUUGUAAACCCCUUUCGGGAGGGAAGAUGGUUGCAUACAAGUGCAACGGACGGUACCUCCAGAAGCAGCCACGGCUAACUUCGUGCCAGCCGCCGCGG